This 497-nucleotide ribosomal RNA is filed under the name uncultured bacterium. Its description in RNAcentral is "partial 16S ribosomal RNA". It matches the Rfam family "Bacterial small subunit ribosomal RNA", at positions 28 to 507 of the family's 1533-position model. The record is from RNAcentral.
GAUGAACGCUGGCGGCGUGCCUAAUACAUGCAAGUAGAACGCUGAAGGAAGGAGCUUGCUCUUUCCGGAUGAGUUGCGAACGGGUGAGUAACGCGUAGGUAACCUGCCUGUUAGCGUGGGAUAACUAUUGGAAACGAUAGCUAAUACCGCAUAACAUUUGGUGUUGCAUGAUAUCUACUUAAAAGGUGCAAUUGCUCCACUACCAGAUUGACCUGCGUUGUAUUAGCUAGUUUGUUAGGUAACGGCCCAACAAAGCGACGAUACCGAGCCGACCUGAGAGGGUGAACGGCCAAACCGGGAAUGGGAAACGGCCCAAAAUUCUACGGGAGGGAGGAGUAGGGGAUCCUCGGCAAUGGACGGAAGGCUGAACGAGCAACGCCGGGGGGGUGAAGAAGGUUUUCGGAUCGUAAAGACCCGUUGAAUGGGAAGAAAGAGUGGGGGAGUGGAAAGUUCACACUGUGACGGUAUCUUACCAGAAAGGGACGGCUAACUACGUG